UGAAAGCCUUCUUCAGUGCUUGAUGCUCGGAGCAGGGAUGGAGUUCCUUUGAUCUAAGGUUGCCACUCACAGGCACCUUGUUCCCUUUUGAUGCAUGACCAAGGGGCAGUGCAGCCACCAACGGAAAAAUUGCAUCAAAUAAUUGCAAGGACUGCUCUGUUUGUGAGCAAACAUGGUGGGCAGUCAGAAAUUGUUCUCAGGGUGAAGCAGGGAAACAAUCCAACAUUUGGGUUCUUGAUGCCUGACCAUGGUCUUCAUGCAUACUUUAGGUAUCUUGUUGAUCAUCCUGAACUUUUACAAUCUGAUAGUGAUUUGAAUGCUCAAAGUGAAGGACCAAAGACUUCUAAUGAGCACAAGGAACAUGACGGUGGUGGAGGUGCUUUAUCUAUGCUUGGUUCUGUUUAUGGGUUUGGGGAGGAUGAGGAGCCUGCAAAUGGGGAUGAUCCUGGAUCCAGAGUUUCCAGUGUACAAGUGGAGUCAUUGGAUACCUCUAACAUUUCCCGUCCACUUGGAAGGGCUGAAUCUAGUUCUAAGGCAUUUGAAAAUGGUGAGAAAGAAACAGAUGAGAGAGGUUCUACUCAUUCACUUCGUUCUAGUAAAGAUAAAGAAAAGGUUCCUUCACUGAAAAAGAAUAAUUUGGUCAGUGCUUCCAAGAGUGGUAGUAGAAGCAGCAUGCGGAAGGAAAGUGACUUCAGUUCUUCUGCUGUAGCAGAAAAGACAAAGACAGACAUGUCUGGUCUAGGAGCUGUCACUAAGACUGGACCGAUGGUGGAGCCUCCAUUUGAACUGAAGAGAUUGAUUGAUAAGAUAGUGGAGUUCAUUCUGAGGAAUGGGAAGCAGUUUGAGUCAACUCUGAUGGAACAGGACAGUAAACAUGGGAGAUUCCCAUUUCUCCUUCCGUCCAACCAAUAUCAUCCCUACUAUCUAAAAGUACUCCAGAAAGCUCAAGAGUCAAAAGUCCAUGGAUCAGAAAGGAGAUCUUCUUUGAAGGAAAGGGAUUCUACCUCUUUAAGGGCUUCGGAGUAUGAUCUGCCAUAUGAAAUUGAUAAGAAAGAGAAGUUUAAGAUGGUGAUUGGCAAAUCCAAGAAGGAAACACAAGACUCUCUGACUAGAACUUCAGAGCAAGAGGCUGGGGUGAAUGUGGAUGCUGCUGCCGCUGCUGCUAUCCUUCAGGCAGCCACUAGAGGUAUUAAGAAUCCCAAUUUGAGUAUCAUCUCAGGCUCAUCUAAGAACGGCGAUAGUCAGGGUCAAAGCAGUGAGGGCGCCCAAGCAUCGAGCUUCCUCAAUGUCCCACCAUCUGGGCUCAGUAUAGUUGGUCAGAAGUCUGACAGAAGGAUGGGACAUGGUGUUUCGAUUCCAAAGGUGAAGGAAAUUGCAAAGUCUGCUGCUGCGGAAGCUGCAAGUGAAGCAGACUCCUCUGAAGCACACUUGAGCAAAGAGCAGAAGCUAAAAGCAGAGAGGCUGAGAAGGGCAAAGAUGUUUGUUUCCCUGUUAAAAGGUGGUGGAGCAGCUCCUGCCAAAAGAGAUUCACUUGGAGGGUCAGUGGAGCCACAAGGAUCUGCCUUAUCAGGUUCUGUUACAGAGGUUAAUGUUGCUACUAAAGAAAGAGAAGGCAGUGCAGCUCUGGCAGAAUUGACUGCUGUGGAGAGAGAAGGCAGUACUGCCCCAUUAGAUAACAACAAUGCGUCGAAUGAAAAUGAGAAACCUGAAAUGCAACAUACUGCUGAAGAGCAUGAGCGACGAUCGAGAAGAAAAUACAGGUCAAGAUCUGGUAUACACGAAGAUGAGGAUGAAGAAGAGGAAGAGGGGCAGGAGGAGGAGGAGGAGCAGCGUUCCAGGAAGAAGCGCCGGUCAUCAAGAAAAGAUGAAGAUGAAGAAAGUGAAGAGAUAAGGGAUGAUAAGCGAUCCAGAAAAAAGAGGCGAUCACGCCGUCACAGACACAAAGAUAGUGAAAAUGCAGGCGAGGAUGAAGAUGAUGAAGAUAAUAGGCGAUCAAGAAAGAAGCACCACAAAAGGCAUUCAUCCCCUGAAAAUGAUGAUGAUCAAAGAGAUGCAGAGAGACAUCAUAAGCAUGGAAGCAAAAAGCAUUCAAGUCAUCGGUCUUCACGUGAAAAUUGGAAAGAUGACGAUGAGGGGGACUAUAAACAUUCCAAGAAGAAACAUAGAUCUCAUAGAAGCUCCCAUCGCAGUAGAGAUAGACAUGAACACAAGACCAAAGAUUCUAGUGAUGAUGAGUCUGAUAGAUCUCGUAGAACUUCCCAUAGGAUUAAAGAUAGACACAAACACAGGACUAAACAUUCUAGCGACAAUGAACCUGAAGGCAGACAUAAGCAUGCAAGCUCUUCUGAUGAUGAAGAGCAGCAGUAUGACCUGGGUGGUAAGAAUGAGAAAGGUACCAAAGAAAGAGAAGAACUGGAAGAAGGUGAGAUCCUUGCCAAAGCGUCAGAUCAAUCAAGAGGAAGUUUGGGAGGUUCUGUCAGCAGAGAAGCUUCAGUCGAUGUAUCUAGUUCCCAGCAAAGAGCCCCAUCUCAGCCGUCUGAAUCAACUGAGAUAUCAGAUGAUCUUAGGGCCAAAAUUCGCGCAAUGUUAAUGGCGACUAGGACGUAGUUGAGGAACUGCCACUAUUGGUGCUUAACUGAGAAUCCUUUGCAGUGUAAAGGGCAUUGUAAAGCCCAUGUUGAAUCUUGAUUUACUAUUAGAUAAUUCUGGUUUUCAUCCUCAUAUUUCAUUAUGCUAUUUAAACUUUUUGCCUG
This 2753-nucleotide unclassified non-coding RNA is filed under the name Hevea brasiliensis (rubber tree). Lineage: Eukaryota; Viridiplantae; Streptophyta; Magnoliopsida; Malpighiales; Euphorbiaceae. The record is from RNAcentral.